This 848-nucleotide ribosomal RNA is filed under the name Hypocrella sp. XH-2015. RNAcentral's name for it is "eukaryotic LSU rRNA". It matches the Rfam family "Eukaryotic large subunit ribosomal RNA", at positions 94 to 952 of the family's 3401-position model. Lineage: Eukaryota; Fungi; Ascomycota; Sordariomycetes; Hypocreales; Clavicipitaceae. The record is from RNAcentral.
UGAAGCGGCAACAGCUCAAAUUUGAAAUCUGGCCCCUCCCCCGGGGGGGCCCGAGUUGUAAUUUGCAGAGGAUGCUUCUGGCGAGGUGCCUUCCGAGUUCCCUGGAACGGGACGCCGCAGAGGGUGAGAGCCCCGUCUGGUCGGACAACCGAGCCUCUGUGAAGCUCCUUCGACGAGUCGAGUAGUUUGGGAAUGCUGCUCUAAAUGGGAGGUAUAUGUCUUCUAAAGCUAAAUACCGGCCAGAGACCGAUAGCGCACAAGUAGAGUGAUCGAAAGAUGAAAAGCACUUUGAAAAGAGGGUUAAACAGUACGUGAAAUUGUUGAAAGGGAAGCGCUCAUGACCAGACCUGGUCCCGGCGAAUCACCCGGCGUUCUCGCCGGUGCACUUCGACGGGCUUCCAGGCCAGCAUCAGUCCGCGCCGGGGGACAAAGGCGGCGGGAACGUGGCUCCCCAGGGAGUGUUAUAGCCCGCCGCGCAAUGCCCCGGGGGCGGACUGAGGCCCGCGCGUCACCGCAAGGAUGCUGGCGUAAUGGUCAUCAGCGACCCGUCUUGAAACACGGACCAAGGAGUCGUCCUCGUAUGCGAGUGUUGGGGCGUCAAACCCCCCGCGCGUAAUGAAAGUGAACGGCAGGUGAGAGCCCUCGCGGGCGCAUCAUCGACCGAUCCUGAUGUUCUCGGAUGGAUUUGAGUAGGAGCAUACGGGGCCGGACCCGAAAGAAGGUGAACUAUGCCUGUGUAGGGUGAAGCCAGAGGAAACUCUGGUGGAGGCUCGCAGCGGUUCUGACGUGCAAAUCGAUCGUCAAACAUGGGCAUGGGGGCGAAAGACUAAUCGAACCUUCUAGUAUCA